GAGCAGCUCGUCCCGCGGCCCCCGGGGCGGGGGAGCCGCCGCCCGUCGCGAUUCCUCCCCGGCGGGAUUCGGGGGAGGAAACUUCGCCCACCCGCCCGCCGCAGGCGAGGCAGCACGGGAAGCGCGGCGGGAAAUCGCACCCCUCGGCCGGCGAAGGGAGCGGUAGUGGAAGCGCGUUGUUGGGAUCCCGGCGUGGGAGGAAGGGGCGGCUCUGACUGCCAGCUAGCCAGAUCUGGGCUCUGGGAAAUGGAGACGGGGCUGCUGCUUCGCCAGGCAGCGACGUGCUGAAAGCGAUGGACAGCGAAUUACUGCGGGAGAGCCCGGCUCCGAAAUCGCCCUUCCCAGGAAGCUGAGACACCCCCCGAGCUCUGGAAGUUCUAGCAGUCGCUCGCUCAGCCUGGGGUUAACCGCAGCGAGUUGCACCGGGUGAGUCCCAGUUUGAAGGGGUCAGGCAGGUGAUUCCUUUGCUUUUUGCUCCUCUGCUCGUGCGUGAAUACUGAAUCCCCCAAAGUCCGCCCGAAAGCCCGGGGGAGCUCGAGAAAAGCCACGGUGGAGAGCUGUAGGUGUUUUGGAUAUAUUGGACACAAAGUACUGCCACCUCUGCUCCAGGGAUUCGUAUGGCUUGAAGGGUGGAGCUGGAAACUGGCACUUUUACCUCCAUGGAUCCCCUAAACCUCUCUUGGUACAACGGUGACAUCAGUGACAGGAACUGGAGCAAGCCACUCAACGAGUCCAAUGCAGACCAGAAGCCUCAGUAUAACUACUAUGCCAUGCUGCUCACCCUCCUCAUCUUUGUUAUUGUUUUUGGCAAUGUGCUGGUGUGUAUGGCUGUGUCCAGGGAAAAAGCCCUUCAGACUACCACUAAUUACCUGAUCGUGAGUUUGGCAGUGGCAGAUCUCUUGGUAGCAACUCUGGUCAUGCCUUGGGUGGUCUAUCUGGAGGUGGUUGGUGAGUGGAGGUUUAGUCGGAUCCACUGUGAUAUCUUUGUAACCCUUGAUGUUAUGAUGUGUACUGCCAGUAUCCUCAACCUCUGUGCCAUCAGCAUUGACAGGUACACAGCAGUAGCAAUGCCAAUGCUGUAUAAUACCCGCUACAGCUCGAAGCGCAGGGUCACAGUCAUGAUUGCAGUGGUCUGGGUGCUUUCAUUUGCCAUCUCCUGCCCACUCCUCUUUGGCCUCAACAACACAGAUGAGAAUGAGUGCAUCAUUGCCAAUCCUGCCUUUGUCGUGUAUUCCUCUAUCGUCUCCUUCUACGUUCCCUUCAUUGUCACCCUGCUGGUGUAUGUACAGAUUUACAUAGUGCUCCGGAAGCGCAGGAAGCGUGUCAACACCAAGCGCAGCAGCCACGGCCUGGACUCAGACACGCAAGCCCCACUGAAGGACAAAUGCACUCAUCCAGAAGACGUCAAGCUCUGCACAGUUAUUGUGAAGUCCAAUGGGAGUUUCCAAGUUAAUAAGCGCAAAGUGGAGGCGGAGAGUCACAUAGAAGAGAUGGAAAUGGAGAUGGUGUCCAGUACCAGUCCCCCUGAGAAAACCACCAUCAAACCUGUGGCAGCACGUAACCAUCAGUUGGUUGUGCCAAUUGCUUCUAAUCAGGGCACCAACUCAACCCUGCAGGCACCCUUGGACAGCCCUGGGAAAGUAGAGAAGAACGGACAUGCCAAAGAAACGCCCCACACGGCCAAGGUCUUUGAGAUCCAGUCUAUGCCCAAUGGCAAGACAAGGACCUCUCUCAAGGCUGUGAGCAGGAGGAAACUGUCACAACAGAAGGAAAAGAAAGCCACUCAGAUGCUAGCCAUUGUACUUGGUGUUUUCAUCAUCUGCUGGCUCCCAUUCUUCAUCACUCACAUCCUGAACAUGCACUGCGAUUGCAACAUCCCCCCAGCAAUGUACAGCGCCUUUACGUGGCUUGGAUAUGUCAACAGUGCUGUCAACCCAAUUAUUUACACCACCUUCAACAUUGAAUUUCGCAAGGCUUUCAUGAAGAUCCUCCACUGUUAAAAGCAAAAACAGCAACUGCAUUUUUAAGAUGACAAAAAAGAAACCAAUGCCAUUCACGCACACCAAUGGGCAGCAAUGGAGAGGUCUCAAGCUCCUGUAUUGGGCAUGAGGCCUACAGUAUUACAACAGUGCCAUGCCCAUGCACCUCUUGGUGGGGAUGUAACGAGGACCUUCAUGUGAGAGGUUCUCUCAUCCCUCAAGGUGAUCUUUGGACUCUGGGACAUCAAUCCCAAGGGCACUUUUCAGAGCUACUCUCACACUGUGUUUAAAGCGGAAGCAAAAAUCAAGACACACUCACUUGAUUCUUGCCUGUGGCCAUCUAACCUUGAGUGCAUUAAACACAGACAGUCACUGAGCCAUGUGAAGGUAGCGAUAGGUCACUGCCGCUGCUGGCUUUGUGUUAUGUCAUCGAUACAAUUCUCACCAAAGACAAGACCAUCUUUUCCGCUUUGCAGUAGGAGCCAGACAGAGCUUGCAGAAACUCCAUGCAAUAGCUUUGCCUUCACUUUGAGCUGACUUACCCAGUAUUAAACUGCUGAAGCCUUUAGAAAAAACUUUAAGAGGUUCCUGCCACCUACAGAUCCAGUCCCUGCAAGAAUGUAGGCCUACAAGCAACGGGCAGAAGGAAGAAGGGGAGCGUAAGUCUCACGUGGGACCACUACAUCAGUGUAAAUAUGGAUAAAUAGGAUGAGUUGAACAGAAGGCCAAGCCAAAAAGUAGAUGGAGAGAAACUAAAGAAGUGAUACCUUGUAUUGCAUGGUAUACAAACAGGACAGCAACCAUCAUAUAUCAUCAGCCAGCCCAGCAGCAAUUUCUGCCCACCAGCAUUUCAUCUCUGGUCUCUUACAAGAAGUUAUAAAACUAGGUGAGGAGUGUUAGUGUGGUAAAUAUAGAUCAUGAAGACAGUGUGCCAGGUGAGGCAUCUGCAGCCAUGUCCACCUCAGAUGUGAACUUGAGCAAGUCAUCUAGGUUAGGUCCAGUUCUUCUCACCUAACUUCAGGGUGCCAUGAAGCCAAGGACCACCUCAGAUAUGAUUUUCCUAUGUCUCUCAACAGAGAAAGUGCAGAGUAAUAUUGUGCCUAAUUUAAAUUAACAGUAAAUGAGAUAAAAAUGUGUGGUUUGGAAAAAGCCAGAAUAAAAGCCCAAGAAAGUCCCUAGCUGAACCUGUGCUGGUGUUCAAGUUGGACUCUGGAAAGUUCUGGGUGUUUCCAGCAUCCCUUACCGCCUGAUAUCUACCUUUCAUCAAUUUAAACAAUUGAAAACCCGUAACAGCAUAACUUCACCAUGCUGACUCUGGCAUUGCCAAAUCAGCACUGCAUUUACUAAUUGUACUCAGUUCACAAUACAUUUCGUAAUAUCUCUGUAAAUAAAACCUAGUAAGAUGAAUAAAAUUACGUGGAAAUAGGUCUGGCUAGAAAUUAAUGUAGGAUCUGGAGAACUAGAUGAUUACAAUAGACAUACGCAGAGGCAGGCCCCCAAGUUCUAGUUACCUGCUGUUUUCUGAAGAUGUUAAAACACAAUCCAGAGAGCAAUAUAAUCCCUUUUCUCUCUGUACACUUUGUGGAAGUCACAUAGUUUCUGUUUCAGAAUAGAUAAAGACCGCUGCCAAGGGGGGUUUCUUUUAUUCUCUGGGUUUCUUAUAUUGCUAACAAAGCAUCUUCCUGUGGGAUGGACUGUGCUGGUAGAACGUGUUCCAGAUGUAUAUCAAGAAGAGAUUAUGUCAAGCAGCUAUAACUCAUGCUCUCAGCUGUUUUCUGAAAUUGAAAUAGAAGUUCCACCUUGAUCCAGCGGAUUCCAUUCUAAACCUCAUAUUCCUGGAAGAGGCCAAUAACUAGUGGUUUUAGUUUGUAUAACAUUAGAGCAUGGCUCUUCAGGGUCUGUUCAUAGCUAUAAAUUUAAAUGAAGAGUGAUUUUACAGAUGCCGAAAUGUAUCCCACUUUAGCAAAGGAUUUUAGCAUAUACUCUCUGAAGAAAUAGGUCCUAUAUAUUAACUGAAUAGGAGAGUACAUGCUUAUCAGAGCAACAUUUUUGUUGGCAUACAUGAACCAGGUGUUACAUGAUUCUGUCAGAACAAAAUGUUAUGAACAUGUAAGAUGGGGCCAGUCAUUCUUCUGUCUUAGCAUUGUAAUGCACAGCUAGGGAAGCUUUGCAUUUUAUAUGUUAAUGGGAUUAUAGGCAAGGGAAAAAAACAUUUCUUACAGAAGCACAGGAAACUUUCCAAUCCUUUUUUAAACAGCAAAUUGGAAACACUAACUCAAGAGAUCUCAGGCACAUGUUACCUCUUCUUUUGUUUGGUUUUUUUUUCCAGUUUUAACCAAUCCAGUUCACUCAGUGAUGGGAUUCAGCUCAGACUGGAAUUACUUAAAAGAUUCAAAGAAUAAUGUAAAGUCAGUAGGGUUUUUUUGUGGAGAAAAUACUAACUAGCUACUGCUCAAUUUUAACAUAUUUACAAUCACAAAACAGAAAGGUGCCAUUUGGUGCAUAUAGACAAAAAAAGCUCUAAAACAUUUGAAAUUUCCAUAGGUGGUUUGACCUGUACUAAAACCUGAUGUGAGCCCUCAAAAUAAGUGGAAUGUGAAUAAUGUCUUAUCUUUCUGCUAUAAUUUUAUUUCAUGUUCAGUGUUAACCCAGGACAAAAUCAUCAUCUUCAAUGCUGUGUACCUUGUUCAAAAAUCUUGUUUCUGAAUCAAGAUGCAGAACCUUAUAGCUCAGCUCACUUGAACUACUAGAUUAAAAACUCUUCCAAAACAUUGUGGAAGAAGAAAGCUGCUGAAAAUAGUCUAUGUCCUUCAUAGGUUUGUUAACUUGGACCAAAAAAAACCAGGAAAACAGGUGUCAUUUCCUAGAGAUUAAGUAUCUGUUGGGUCAAAUUACCAGCAGCCCAUCAUUCAUCCCAAUGAUAUUUUAAACCACUUACUCCUAACACUCCAGACUCAAAUGUAACCUGUGGAAAUAUCUAUAUCCCACUGCCCUUGGAAAGGCGGUAAUGCCAUAUCUGUUCACGUCCUCUGCAGCAGGUUUUCCUUUCCCAUAAAACAUCUACACUUAAAGACAACAAACACUUUCUACCCAUGAAUCAAGGCUUCAUAACUUUUUGAGAGGGGACCAAAAUAUCAUCACCUCUGGCUUUACAAAGAAUAAACUAAUGCCAAGAGCAAGGACAGUCUUUGCAAUCUGUUUGUACAGCACCUGGCACAGUGACUGACAACCAGGCCGUAGUGGUGAUAGAAGGUGUUUGUAGAAACUUCUGAAAAUUGUGAGAAGUCAGCUGCAUCAUACAGGACUGAGGCCUCUUGCCCACAGAUCUGGGUCUGGCAAAUAGAGUCAUCACUGUUACUACCACUCUGGAAAAAAUACUGCUUUCCCAAGGACUUCAGAUGGCGGGACAUGCUGAUGAUGACAGAAGCAGACUGGGGAGGAUUUGGAGGAGGAAGGGAUGGAAAACGGAUAAGUACCUGGCCAAGAGCAGUCAUGCUGGUACUUGUGGCACCACAACAGCUGCCUGUAUUUAAUUUUUGACACUACUCAGUCACAUCUGGUACAUAGCAGUUCACAUACAAGUUCAAGAUGGGUAAUGAAAGCCACUGUUCUCAUUGGGACAUUGUUUGUCUACCUGAGCUGUAAAAGCUGAGGGAAACAAAUCUAUAUAGGUCAAACAUAAGCAGCACCCUGUAUGAGUUUGGUUGGCAACAAUUAACAGUUGUGUGGAAUCUACAAACUCGCAAUCUCUCUGCAUGGAGAAAAUAAAUAGAAGCUGUCAGACCACUAAGGCACUGCAGGCAAUUUGUACGACAAGUACAAUAUUUUUAACACUGUAUUUUAUGCAGAAGUUAGUAUGUCCCGAAAAGGUGAUUAUGGACUUCACUUGGCUAAGCACACCUAAUGUAAGAACUCACACCGGUGAGAGUAUUUCUGCUGUCCACCUAUAUCAUUUGGUCUUGCAUAAGAGGUUUUGGUGAAGACACUGUGUGGGUCUGGCAGGGCAGACAGCAAGCUGCAUCUGGGUCCUGUGUAGUAGCUUAUGCCAACGUUAAGUAACUAAUCACAUGGGUUUGUCUUCCUUCUGCAUUUUGCUUGACUUUUAUGCUGGAGAACAUCAUUUCAUUUAGGAAUAUUUACAUUUAUAUUGCACUUACUGUUGCACUGCUUCCUCAAGCUACCAGCUGAAAUGUUUGGUAUUUAUGCAAGAACUGAUCCGAUAAAUGGAUGUGAACCUCAGCCAUUAGUCGGCAUGACAGUAAAACCUCAGCUUAGGCUGCCACACAACUGGGGCUCAUGG
Molecule: RNA transcript, 6279 nt
Organism: Tyto alba (common barn owl)
Lineage: Eukaryota; Metazoa; Chordata; Aves; Strigiformes; Tytonidae
Gene: DRD2
Gene name: dopamine receptor D2
Exons: 9
Source: RefSeq, a predicted model, not a curated record